RNAcentral lists this ribosomal RNA (519 nucleotides) under uncultured bacterium. RNAcentral's name for it is "bacterial SSU rRNA". It matches the Rfam family "Bacterial small subunit ribosomal RNA", at positions 27 to 518 of the family's 1533-position model. The record is from RNAcentral.
GGACGAACGCUGGCGGCGUGCCUAAUACAUGCAAGUCGAACGGUCUUUCUAUGGAAGCUUGCUUCCACUGAGAAGAUAGUGGCGAACGGGUGAGUAACACGUGGGUAACCUGCCCAUAAGAGGGGGGAUAACAUCCGGAAACGGGUGCUAAUACCGCAUAGUUUUCUUGGUCGCAUGAUCGGGAAAGGAAAGACGGCCUUUGUGCUGUCGCUUAUGGAUGGACCCGCGGCGUAUUAGUUAGUUGGUGAGGUAACGGCUCACCAAGACGAUGAUACGUAGCCGACCUGAGAGGGUGAUCGGCCACAUUGGGACUGAGACACGGCCCAAACUCCUACGGGAGGCAGCAGUAGGGAAUCUUCCGCAAUGGACGAAAGUCUGACGGAGCAACGCCGCGUGAGUGAAGAAAGGUUUUCGGAUCGUAAAACUCUGUUGUCAGAGAAGAACAAGUUGGAGAGUAACUGCUCCAGCCUUGACGGUAUCUGACCAGAAAGCCACGGCUAACUACGUGCCAGCCGCCGC